This 179-nucleotide small RNA is filed under the name Mytilus galloprovincialis (Mediterranean mussel). The record is from RNAcentral. Lineage: Eukaryota; Metazoa; Mollusca; Bivalvia; Mytilida; Mytilidae.
UCGAGAAAUCGAGAAAUCGAGAAAUCGAGAAAUUGGGAAAUUGGGAAAUUAGGAAAUCAAUGGCAAAAACGCGAAAGCUUUUGUGUUUUCGUUUUCGUGUUUUUGUGUUUUUGCUUUCUCGAUUUCUCGAUUUCCCGAUUUCCCUAUUUUUCGAUUUCCCUAUUUCUCGAUUUCCCUAU